CCUACGGGAGGCAGCAGUGGGGAAUAUUGGACAAUGGGCGAAAGCCUGAUCCAGCAAUGCCGCGUGAGUGAUGAAGGCCUUAGGGUUGUAAAGCUCUUUUACCAGGGAUGAUAAUGACAGUACCUGGAGAAUAAGCUCCGGCUAACUCCGUGCCAGCAGCCGCGGUAAUACGGAGGGAGCUAGCGUUGUUCGGAAUUACUGGGCGUAAAGCGUACGUAGGCGGUUAUUCAAGUCAGAGGUGAAAGCCUGGAGCUCAACUCCAGAACUGCCUUUGAAACUAGAUAGCUAGAAUCUUGGAGAGGUGAGUGGAAUUCCGAGUGUAGAGGUGAAAUUCGUAGAUAUUCGGAAGAACACCAGUGGCGAAGGCGACUCACUGGACAAGUAUUGACGCUGAGGUACGAAAGCGUGGGGAGCAAACAGGAUUAGAUACCCUGGUAGUCCACGCCGUAAACGAUGAUAACUAGCUGUUCGGGCUCUACGAGCUUGAGUGGCGCAGACUACGACAUUAAGUUAUCCGUCCGUCGGGAGGUACGGUCGCGAAGAAUUAAAACGUUAAAAGUAAAGUUAGUACGGCGUGAGACGUCGCCGACGGACGACGACGAGGGAGGUUAGG
RNAcentral lists this ribosomal RNA (613 nucleotides) under uncultured bacterium. RNAcentral describes it as "bacterial SSU rRNA". The stretch from base 1 to 519 matches the Rfam family "Bacterial small subunit ribosomal RNA", at positions 338 to 873 of the family's 1533-position model. The record is from RNAcentral.